GCAUCUCCUCCAACUCGAGAAGAGGAGGCCUUCUUCGCAUUCCGGUCAUUUUUAAGCCAAAGCAGAGAUUUCCUCCAUGAGCGAUGACCUUUCUAAGCGGUGUAAAAGAAAGCAUUUUCGCCCAAAUGUCGAUCUUGAGCGGAGGAAGAGUAGUGUGCGUGUUGAGAUCCAGGAUGUUCCCUAGCCCAAUCCAAGGGAUUUUUUUAGGUCAUCUCGUGGAUCAUAUUUCUGACGUUCGCCACACAACCGUGAUGCUUGAGUCUUUUACAGUCUGGUUUUUGCCCUUUUCUGGUUCAUACAAGUGCUUUUUCAAGCACAGUGGAGGAGAAGGCUAAAUGGCUCUUUGAGAAGCUGAAAGGUUGUUGCUCAUCUUCUGAAACCACGUGGUUGGAAACCCCCUGUACGUAGGCAAUUCUUCUUAGAUUGUAAUGAGAUCUCUGAGCUUUGUGAUAGUGCUGAAAGAAUAUUCACUAGUGAGCCAACUGUUCUACAAAUUAAAGCUCCUGUCAAAAUCUUUGGUGAUUUACCUGGUCAGUUUGGGGAUCUCAUGCGCUUGUUUGAUGAGUUUGGUGCUCCUUCAACGACAAGGGACAUUUCGUAAGCACUUUCAACUUUCACUAAUAUUAUCAAGCAUGACUAGAUUUCUACCAUGUUUCCUCCAUGAUUUCCACCAGGUUUUCUUCAUGUUUCAGUUAGCACAGAAUUCUUAUCUAUAUCCUUCCC
Molecule: long non-coding RNA, 723 nt
Organism: Zingiber officinale
Lineage: Eukaryota; Viridiplantae; Streptophyta; Magnoliopsida; Zingiberales; Zingiberaceae
Exons: 4
Source: RefSeq, a predicted model, not a curated record